Molecule: ribosomal RNA, 443 nt
Filed under: uncultured bacterium
Lineage: Bacteria
Description: bacterial SSU rRNA
Rfam family: Bacterial small subunit ribosomal RNA
Source: RNAcentral
GACGAACGCUGGCGGCGUGCCUAACACAUGCAAGUCGAGCGGGGAGGAGAAAGCUUGCUUUCGAAUCCUAGCGGCGGACGGGUGAGUAACGCGUGAGCAACCUGCCUCUUACAGGGGGAUAACGCAUCGAAAGAUGUGCUAAUACCGCGUAAGACCACAGCAUCACAUGGUGCAGGGGUCAAAGGAGCAAUCCGGUAAGAGAUGGGGCUCGCGUCCGAUUAGCUAGUUGGCGGGAUAACAGCCCACCAAGGCGACGAUCGGUAGCCGACCUGAGAGGGUGAUCGGCCACGAUUGGAACUGAGAUACGGUCCAGACUCCUACGGGAGGCAGCAGUGGGGAAUAUUGGGCAAUGGGCGAAAGCCUGACCCAGCAACGCCGCGUGAGGGAAGAAGGGUUUCGGAUUGUAAACCUUUGUCAACAGGGACGAAACAAAUGACGGUACC